UUGAAACACCAGUUCCCAUAUGAUCACCGAAGUUAAGCAACGUCAAGCUUGGUCAGUACCUAGAUGGGUGACUACUUGGGAAUACCAGGUGCU
Molecule: non-coding RNA, 93 nt
Organism: Acanthosepion pharaonis
Lineage: Eukaryota; Metazoa; Mollusca; Cephalopoda; Sepiida; Sepiidae
Source: the annotation of a GenBank genome assembly